GCCAAAGUGGCGGAACUGGUAGACGCGCUGGACUCAAAAUCCAGUGAGUGCAAACUCGUGAGGGUUCGAGUCCCUCCUUUGGUACCA
Molecule: transfer RNA, 87 nt
Filed under: Chlorobium limicola
Lineage: Bacteria; Pseudomonadati; Chlorobiota; Chlorobiia; Chlorobiales; Chlorobiaceae
Also listed under: 3 other names
Description: tRNA-Leu
Rfam family: tRNA
About the family: Transfer RNA (tRNA) molecules are approximately 80 nucleotides in length. Their secondary structure includes four short double-helical elements and three loops (D, anti-codon, and T loops).
Source: RNAcentral